This is a non-coding RNA of Camellia sinensis, 413 nucleotides long. The record is from RefSeq and is a predicted model, not a curated record. Lineage: Eukaryota; Viridiplantae; Streptophyta; Magnoliopsida; Ericales; Theaceae.
AAAAAAAUUCAUUAACUAUAAAAAUUAUUUUAAUAAUUUUUUAUUUUAAUAAAAAAUUCAUUAACUAUAACAUUUGUGGGUGUGUGUAGGGUUUUGUUUGAGAACACACACACAACACAAACACAACAGAGCCGUCUCCUCUCCUCCUGCUCUCUCCGUCUAGGGUUUCGCCUUCCUCUCUCUCUUUCACACAAUGACAGCGCCGAUCAUCCGUCACCACCGAUCCUCCCUCACCCCCGAUCCUCCCUCACCGUCGCUCGUACCUCACUGUCGAUCCUCCUCCCUUACCGCCGCUGCUGCCUCCCUCUCUCUCUCUCUCAAACGACGUUGAUGGUUGCUCGCCCCUCACCGCCACUCCUCCCUCGCCGGCGAUCUUCCCUCACCGCCGAUUUCAAAGGAUAAACACCAAAAUU